This 411-nucleotide ribosomal RNA is filed under the name uncultured Methanolinea sp. RNAcentral describes it as "bacterial SSU rRNA". It matches the Rfam family "Archaeal small subunit ribosomal RNA", at positions 73 to 485 of the family's 1478-position model. Lineage: Archaea; Methanobacteriati; Methanobacteriota; Methanomicrobia; Methanomicrobiales; Methanoregulaceae. The record is from RNAcentral.
UUNCUCCGGCAUACCGCUNCAGUAACACGUGGAUAACCUGCCCUGUGCUGGGGGAUAACCUCGCGAAAGUGAGAACAAUACCCCAUGGGUCACUAUGCCUGGAACGGUUAGUGGCUGAAAGCUCCGGCGGCACAGGAUGGGUCUGCGGCGUAUCAGGUCGUAGGGGGUGUAACGUACCUCCUAGCCUUCGACGCGUACGGGUUGUGAGAGCAAUUGCCCGGAGAUGGAUUCUGAGACACGAAUCCAGGCCCUACGGGGCGCAGCAGGCGCGAAAACUUGACAAUGCGAGAAAUCGUGAUCAGGGGACUCCAGUUGGCUGGAUCAAAAGUCCAGUCUGAACCGACUUUAAAUCGGUCGGGUAAUAGGGGCGGGAAAGACCGGUGCCAGCCGCCGCGGUAAUACCGGCGCCCC